RNAcentral lists this long non-coding RNA (3275 nucleotides) under Populus tremula. RNAcentral's name for it is "long non-coding RNA (PTRE_LNC000217)". Lineage: Eukaryota; Viridiplantae; Streptophyta; Magnoliopsida; Malpighiales; Salicaceae. The record is from RNAcentral.
AGUUACUACUUUUUCUUGUUUGAUAGGCUCCUCAGGCUUUUCCACAGAUUGUUCCUUCACUGCUAAUGGUUCCUCCUUUGCCACUGCUGGCUCAGUAGGUUUAUUAGUGUUUUUUGAUGUUUCUAACAUCUCGGGUGCUUCGGUUACUACUUUUUCUUGUUUUACUGGCUCCUCGGGCUUUUCCACAGAUUGUUCCUUCACUGCUAAUGGUUCCUCCUUUACCACUGCUGGCUCAGUAGGUUUAUUAGUGCUGUUUGAUGUUUCUAAUUUCUCGGGUGCUUCGGUUACUACUUUUUCUUGUUUUACUGGCUCCUCGGGCUUUUCCACAGAUUGUUCCUUUGCUGUUGAUGGUUCUUCUUUAGCCACUGCAGACUCGGUAGGUUUUUCACUACUCUCUGAUGUUUCUGAUUUCUCUGGUUCUGCUGGUGCUUUGUCACUUUCUGUUGGCUCCUUCCCUGCUUCAUUCUGCAUAUAUAGAAUACCAUUUCAACCAUAAGAUAUCUCAGAAGAUUCAGAAUCCAAUAGACAUGCAGAUUUUACUAAUAUAUAGCCAUGUAGCUUAAGAUAACCUUUCAAAGCAAGAAAAAGGAUCGCGUUUUUUUGUCCUUUAGUACGUAGUGUUUGGGUUAUUGUCUCAAGACAGAAAAACCAGAAACACUGGAGAUAGAAGAGACAUGUUUCUGCCCCUUCUGUCCCGAAACACUUAUACAUAUUUACUAGUAGAUCCACAAGUCCCAAUGGGACACCACAACUGAUCCUCCACGGCUUGGGACAGGGCCGUGCCGGAAAACACAACUAACACCAGUCUUUUGUCAGCCAUUAGGCUGAAUAAUAACCUAUCCAGUUAACUGUUAUGUAAACUUGGCGAUGCAAAUGUAAUUGUAUCUAUAGACUAGCACAGCAAGUCAAUGGAGUGCAAGGAGCACAGCAAACAGGCUGAAAGGCACGUUCCAAAAUUUAACUAAGAUCACCAACAAUCUGACGCAGCUAAUCGAAUUGGUUGGAAACAAUUUAUCAGAAUAAUCCAAGCCCCAACAACCAGUACAGCUAGAUAUUCUUUGAUGGAUGUUUACUGCGUCCAGCUAAACCCUCAAUUCCGGCAACAUUGACUAGGGACAUUCAUACAUAUCCGACCUGUGUUGCUCAACAGUUUGCUUUCAAUUACUGCCUGCAUUUAUCCUUUAUAUAACAAAAUCCGUUGGUAUCAGAAAACGUGUAUUUAUAUAUAUACAAAAAAGACAAAAACAUGCUUUGUUGAAAAAACAAUGAUAAAAAUAUAAAAUAAAUAUGUGAUAUAUUUUUUAGUUAAUUUUUGUAAUAUUCAUAAGCCUAUUCCUCAGAAGAGAAGAUCAUGUCUUUCUUCUCUAUCUUUUAUCGAGAGGAAAUAUAUAUUAAAAAGAAAAAAGAAAAAUCAGGGGGCAGCUGUUAAAAACUUUUCAUCACUCCCAAGGUUAUGAAAAUGAAACGACACAAAAUAUGGAGAAAAAACUUGGAGGAACCAAACAACAAGUGGGUCCUCAAACAAGAUUUUUUUUGCCAGACAUCAAAUGAAAUGCGAAACAACAAAGUUGAAGAGAAACCUUACACAGGCUUUCCAGUUCAAAGAAUCUAAAGCUUUUAACUUUAUUGCUUACCGUAUCCCAGCAAACAAAUAAGCACGGUACAAGUAGCUGCAAACUCAAGUUUUACACAGAGAAAGAGGUCUUUGAGGGAAAAUGAUUUUUUCGAAAAAAAAAAAAAAACGGAAGGUAAAUUAAUUAUUCAUGCCGACACAACAAUAUAGACAAACAUAAAGACAUUUGGGACAGAUUAAAUAAAUUUUAGGAAAUUAAAAUAUAUAAUUGUGCUUAUAACAGAAGUAAAAUGCUUGAGAAAUUAUUAUACUGUUGUGUACACGCACUCAACGCAAUCAUGUCACUAAUGUUAGAUAUCGAAGAACCCUGUAAUAUUUCUCAAGUGGGAUUGAAUAUGAAUUCAUUUGCAAUUGAAAUAAUUAUUAUAUAAACUAGGUAUAUUCUUUAAUUAUUUUGUCAAAACAUUGACAAUAAAUUGGGUUGCUUGUGUUAAUUUUAUGGACACCAUAACAAGAAGAACCAUGCAUGUAUACAAGAGAAUUUUCAAUUUAAUUUCCUAUUCUUGACCUCCUCCUAGACCAACAGCAGAGAAAUUCACCAAGAAAAAAAAUCGAACGUCGGAUUAUAAGAAAAAGAUUUGAAAGGGACAAGUUUGACCAUAUGAAGUUUGAAGACAAAUCACGUCAAUGGACACUAAUUAACCACAUAAAAUUAGGAGGUUAAAUAAUUUAUUUGUAAUAAGAGAAAUAAUUAGAAGAAAGAGCAACCAUCAUCUGUUACAGUUUAUCACAGAGAAAAAAUGUAGAAAUCGACCCAAGAUUUAAUAUUAAAUAGCAAAAAUUAUAUUUAAUCAAGACUCUUUCCAGAUAUAAAAAAAUAAAAUCAAAAUUAACACAAACUGAAGAAAUAUUUUUGUAAGCACGUUUUAAACAUAUAAUAAAAUCAAAUUCUUUCCUUUUUGUGCCCAAGAUAUAAGAUUGUGUAGAAAGAAUUAAUACAUUAAACAAUUUAAAAAAAAAAAAAUCAUUACCUCCUUGAACAAAUUACUUAGAGAUCGUCUCUUGCUGCUAUCAUCAACAAUCUCAGCCUCCACCUUAUUAUCAGCACCAACAACACCAGUAUCUUUCUCAACAUUGACAACCUUCUUCUCCUCUUCCUCCACAGCAACACCCUUGUCUACAACCUCAUCACCACCACCUGUUGCCACCACAACUUCCUCCUUGACCGGCUCAGGAGUCUCCCCCUCCUUCAACACCUUCGGCUUGGUGGCACAGGCUCCCAUAUUAAUUAUUUAAUCCCAAAAACUUUUCUAAAUGCUUUUGGGACACCUUUAUACGUUAAAGAAACUUGAAGAAAGACUCGAGAACAAUAUAGAAGGACAAAGAGACGGAAAGAAAAUAUGGGAAACUCAAAUAUAAAUAGAAGAAGAAGAAGGAUCAAUCAAAAAAGUGUGGGGUGCUAAUUUUUUGGUUCCGACAAUCACUCUGUGGUGAAGGGAAGUGAUAUAUAUGUGUGUCUAUAUAUAUAUGAGAGAGAGAGAGGCAGAACAGAGAGACAAGAAAAACAGGGUUUGGAAGAGUUACAAUGUUUUUAUGGAAGUGUGAUGCUUGUGUAAUAUUUUUAAUGUCUUAAUUAAUUUGGGAUUAUGUUAAAACAGGUGUCACAGGCUGUAAGAGAGAGAUUAGGAGAGGUUUUGAGAAG